Triticum aestivum (bread wheat) is the source of this 723-nucleotide long non-coding RNA. RefSeq lists it as uncharacterized. The transcript is spliced from 3 exons. The record is from RefSeq and is a predicted model, not a curated record. Lineage: Eukaryota; Viridiplantae; Streptophyta; Magnoliopsida; Poales; Poaceae.
CGGAGAUGCCCUCAUUUGUCUGGAUUUGGAGGCCCGACGCAGCUCUCUGUCUCUCUCGAUCCCUCUCCUCCACCCCGCCGCCACCCACCCUAUCCUCCACCCCGCCCCGUCCCGUCCCGGUCCCGGUCCAUCUCCGCCCCGUACUGUCCCUCUCCGGCAAGGUCGCAAGGACACUCCGACGUCUUGGUUACCUGUCCCUCUCGCCACCGCAGGACGCCUCACUCCAGCCACCCGAUCUGGGCAGCCCACGGUAGGUCAACUCCACCCCCGGAGGACUAAGGAGCAAGAGGCACCGGGGCUCUUGGUCUGGGAGCAAGCAGGGAAAUAUUGGGUGAAGUGUGAUGCUGAACGGACAGAGGAAGAUCCUUGAGCAAUGAAAAUCUUUGUUGGGUGGUGCUAAUAAUGCAAAGAUUCAGUUAUGUAUUCACUUUGAGCAAUUUGUACAACCAUUGUGCCCUAUGAGACCAUAUGUCACCAUUUCUCAUCAUAUUUUGCAGGAAAUAUUGGGUGAAGUGUGAUGCUGAACGGACAGAGGAAGAUCCUUGAGCAAUGAAAAUCUUUGUUGGGUGGUGCUAAUAAUGCAAAGAUUCAGUUUUUAUGUAACCUUGGCUAGACUGUGAUCAUUUGAUGUUGUGAACCUUUGUCGUAUUGCAAAGAUUAACUUUUUACAAAGUCUCAUGUUGAAGUUUUAUGUAUUGGCAUGGUUCAGUUUAAUGCAAAACA